Molecule: ribosomal RNA, 478 nt
Filed under: uncultured bacterium
Lineage: Bacteria
Description: partial 16S ribosomal RNA
Rfam family: Bacterial small subunit ribosomal RNA
Source: RNAcentral
GAUGAACGCUGGCGGCGUGCCUAACACAUGCAAGUCGAACGGAGUCAAGCCUUAGAGACCUGCCGGUCAAAGAGGGGAAGACUGAUUGGCGGACGGGUGAGUAACACGUGGGCAACAUGGCGCAAAGAGGGGGAUAACAGAGAGAAAGUUCUGCUAAUAACGCAUAAGCACACACUGCCGCAUGGCAGAGGGAGAAAAGAGAAGCGCUAUGAGAUGGACCCGAGUCUGAUUAUCCAGUUGGCAGGGUAAGCGCCUCUCAAAGAGACGUUAAGUAGCCGAUUUGAGAGGCAGAACGGAGACAUUGGGACUGGGCCACAGCGCAAAAUCUUACGGGAAGGAGCAGUGGGUGAUAUUGCAAAAUGGCGGGAAGGAUGAUGCAGCGACGCCGCGAGAGUGAAGAAGUAUUUCGGUAUGUACAGCUCUAUCAGCAGGGAAGAUCAUGACAGUACCUGAAUAAGAAGCCCCGGCUAACUACGUG